GACGAACGCUGGCGGCGUGCUUAACACAUGCAAGUCGAACGGUGAAGCGCCUUCCUUUUUGGUGGGUGUGGAUGAGUGGCGAACGGGUGAGUAACACGUGAGUAACCUGCCCCCUUCUUCUGGAUAACCGCAUGAAAGUGUGGCUAAUACGGGAUAUUCUGGGUCUGUCGCAUGAUGGGUCUGGGAAAGAUAUUGUUUCGGUGGGGGAUGGGCUCGCGGCCUAUCAGCUUGUUGGGGGGGUGAUGGCCUACCAAGGCGGUGACGGGUAGCCGGCCUGAGAGGGUGGACGGGCACACUGGGACUGAGACACGGCCCAGACUCCUACGGGAGGCAGCAGUGGGGAAUAUUGCACAAUGGGCGCAAGCCUGAUGCAGCGACGCCGCGUGAGGGAUGGAGGCCUUCGGGUUGUGAACCUCUUUCGCCAGUGAAGCAGGCCUGCCUCGUUUGUGGGUGGGUUGACGGUAGCUGGAUAAGAAGCGCCGGCUAACUACGUG
This 494-nucleotide ribosomal RNA is filed under the name uncultured bacterium. RNAcentral describes it as "partial 16S ribosomal RNA". It matches the Rfam family "Bacterial small subunit ribosomal RNA", at positions 28 to 507 of the family's 1533-position model. The record is from RNAcentral.